GAUGAACGCUGGCGGCGUGCCUAACACAUGCAAGUCGAGCGGCAGCGAGGGGUGCUUGCACCCUGUCGGCGAGCGGCGGACGGCUGAGUAACGCGUGGGAACGUUCCCCAAAGUGAGGAAUAACUGCCCGAAAGGGUAGCUAAUACCGCAUAUUAUCUUCGGAUCAAAGGAUUUAUCCGCUUUGGGAGCGGCUCGCGUCGGAUUAGGUAGUUGGUGAGGUAAUGGCUCACCAAGCCGACGAUCCGUAGCUGGUCUGAGAGGAUGACCAGCCAGACUGGAACUGAGACACGGUCCAGACUCCUACGGGAGGCAGCAGUGAGGAAUCUUCCACAAUGGGCGAAAGCCUGAUGGAGCAACGCCGCGUGCAGGACGAAGGCCUUCGGGUUGUAAACUGCUUUUAUAAGUGAGGAAUAUGACGGUAACUUAUGAAUAAGGAGCGGCUAACUACGUG
Molecule: ribosomal RNA, 451 nt
Filed under: uncultured bacterium
Lineage: Bacteria
Description: partial 16S ribosomal RNA
Rfam family: Bacterial small subunit ribosomal RNA
Source: RNAcentral